UACGUAGGUGGCAAGCGUUGUCCGGAAUUAUUGGGCGUAAAGCGCGCGCAGGCGGUCCUUUAAGUCUGAUGUGAAAGCCCACGGCUCAACCGUGGAGGGUCAUUGGAAACUGGGGGACUUGAGUGCAGAAGAGGAGAGUGGAAUUCCACGUGUAGCGGUGAAAUGCGUAGAGAUCGGGAAGAAUACCAGUGGCGAAGGCGUUCUGCUGGGCCGUUGCUGACACUGAGGCGCGACAGCGUGGGGAGCAAACAGG
This 253-nucleotide ribosomal RNA is filed under the name uncultured bacterium. RNAcentral describes it as "partial 16S ribosomal RNA". It matches the Rfam family "Bacterial small subunit ribosomal RNA", at positions 524 to 776 of the family's 1533-position model. The record is from RNAcentral.